UGUUGGGCCAGCGGCCCCAGCGGCUGCUCUCGUCACGCUCGUAACCCAUCGUGACUUCCAGAUUGGGCAGCACUCGGCACGCCAGGAGAGGAGCCAUGCUAGACAGACUGAGCCAAAGAGAGUGCAGGAUUGAGGUUCUUGACUAUUCCGUGGCCUCCAGGGAAGAUGACGGCGUCAAAGCUGCUGACGUCCAGUUUGGACAGAUCGAUCAUCUGCAUCAUGCCCUGGCCGUGGCUGAAUCGUGCAGACUCCAUCAUCAUGUUCCUGCGGAGAGGAAACAGUUUGGUAUCAGAUGGUCAUGAUUUUGGCGUGACCAGGAUAUUUCUUGACUGUUUUCGUGAGAUUGACGCAGAACAACGGAGCACCUGCUGUUGUCACAGAGCGAUGCUCUUGCGAGAGAGAAAACUUCAGCGGCCGAUCUGUUUUUGGAGGUGAUUUCUC
Long non-coding RNA from Onychostoma macrolepis, 441 nucleotides. RefSeq lists it as uncharacterized. The record is from RefSeq and is a predicted model, not a curated record. Lineage: Eukaryota; Metazoa; Chordata; Actinopteri; Cypriniformes; Cyprinidae. The transcript is spliced from 3 exons.